UACGUAGGGUCCGAGCGUUGUCCGGAAUUACUGGGCGUAAAGAGCUCGUAGGUGGUUUGUCACGUUGUUCGUGAAAACCCACAGCUCAACUGUGGGCGUGCGAGCGAUACGGGCAGACUAGAGUUCGGCAGGGGAGACUGGAAUUCCUGGUGUAGCGGUGAAAUGCGCAGAUAUCAGGAGGAACACCGGUGGCGAAGGCGGGUCUCUGGGCCGAUACUGACGCUGAGGAGCGAAAGCGUGGGGAGCGAACAGG
This 253-nucleotide ribosomal RNA is filed under the name uncultured bacterium. RNAcentral's name for it is "partial 16S ribosomal RNA". It matches the Rfam family "Bacterial small subunit ribosomal RNA", at positions 524 to 776 of the family's 1533-position model. The record is from RNAcentral.